CCAGCCGGCCGGGCGGCCGCACGCGCGAGAGCCGAAAGGUUGCGUGUGAGGAAAGUCCGGGCUCCAUGGAGACACGGUGCCGGCUAACGGCCGGCGGGGGCGACCCCAGGGAAAGUGCCACAGAAAGCAAACCGCCACGGAUAUCCGUGGCAAGGGUGAAAGGGUGGGGUAAGAGCCCACCGCGCGCCUGGCAACAGGGGCGGCACGGCAAACCCCACCGGGAGCAAAACCGAAUAGGGGCGGUGCGAGGGGAAACCCUCGAGGGCUGUUUCCGGCCCACCGCCCGGGUAGGUUGCGUGAGGCGCAUGGCAACAUGCGCCCAAGAUGAAUGGCCGCCACGUUCCCGCUCCGCAAGGGGCGGGGGCCAUACAGAACCCGGCUUACAGGCCGGCUGGCAUC
RNAcentral lists this RNase P RNA (399 nucleotides) under Mesorhizobium sp. SCN 65-12. RNAcentral describes it as "RNase P RNA component class A". It matches the Rfam family "Bacterial RNase P class A". Rfam says of the family: Ribonuclease P (RNase P) is a ubiquitous endoribonuclease, found in archaea, bacteria and eukarya as well as chloroplasts and mitochondria. Its best characterised activity is the generation of mature 5'-ends of tRNAs by cleaving the 5'-leader elements of precursor-tRNAs. Lineage: Bacteria; Pseudomonadati; Pseudomonadota; Alphaproteobacteria; Hyphomicrobiales; Phyllobacteriaceae. The record is from RNAcentral. RNAcentral also lists the same sequence under 2 other names.